Molecule: ribosomal RNA, 631 nt
Filed under: Rhodococcus sp. (in: high G+C Gram-positive bacteria)
Lineage: Bacteria; Bacillati; Actinomycetota; Actinomycetes; Mycobacteriales; Nocardiaceae
Description: bacterial SSU rRNA
Rfam family: Bacterial small subunit ribosomal RNA
Source: RNAcentral
CAGCAGUGGAGAAUAUUGCACAAUGGGCGAAAGCCUGAUGCAGCGACGCCGCGUGAGAGACGACGGCCUUCGGGUUGUAAACCUCUUUCAGCAGGGACGAAGCGCAAGUGACGGUACCUGCAGAAGAAGCACCGGCUAAAUACGUGCCAGCAGCCGCGGUAAUAUGUAGGGCGCAAGCGUUUUCCGGAAUUACUGGGCGUAAAGAGUUCGUAGGCGGUUUGUCACGUCGUUUGUGAAAACUCACAGCUCAACUGUGAGCCUGCAGGCGAUACGGGCAGACUUGAGUACUGCAGGGGAGACUGGAAUUCCUGGUGUAGCGGUGAAAUGCGCAGAUAUCAGGAGGAACACCGGUGGAGAAGGCGGGUCUGUGGGCAGUAACUGACGCUGAGGAAAGAAAGCGUGGGUAGCGAACAGGAUUAGAUACCCUGGUAGUCCACGCCGUAAACGGUGGGCGCUAGGUGUGGGUUCCUUCCACGGAAUCCGUGCCGUAGCUAACGCAUUAAGCGCCCCGCCUGGGGAGUACGGCCGCAAGGAUAAAAAUCAAAGGAAUUGACGGGGGCCCGCACAAGCGGCGGAGCAUGUGGAUUAAUUCGAUGCAACGCGAAGAACCUUACCUGGGUCUGACAUAUAC